RNAcentral lists this ribosomal RNA (504 nucleotides) under uncultured bacterium. RNAcentral describes it as "partial 16S ribosomal RNA". It matches the Rfam family "Bacterial small subunit ribosomal RNA", at positions 30 to 523 of the family's 1533-position model. The record is from RNAcentral.
AUUGAACGCUGGCGGCAGGCCUAACACAUGCAAGUCGAACGGUAGCACAGAGAGCUUGCUCUCGGGUGACGAGUGGCGGACGGGUGAGUAAUGUCUGGGAAACUGCCCGAUGGAGGGGGAUAACUACUGGAAACGGUAGCUAAUACCGCAUAACGUCGCAAGACCAAAGAGGGGGACCUUCGGGCCUCUUGCCAUCAGAUGUGCCCAGAUGGGAUUAGCUAGUAGGUGGGGUAACGGCUCACCUAGGCGACGAUCCCUAGCUGGUCUGAGAGGAGGACCAGCCACACUGGAACUGAGACACGGUCCAGACUCCUACGGGAGGCAGCAGUGGGGAAUAUUGCACAAUGGGCGCAAGCCUGAUGCAGCCAUGCCGCGUGUAUGAAGAAGGCCUUCGGGUUGUAAAGUACUUUCAGCGGGGAGGAAGGUGUUGUGGUUAAUAACCACAGCAAUUGACGUUACCCGCAGAAGAAGCACCGGCUAACUCCGUGCCAGCCGCCGCCGUAA